CACCGCGGUUAUACGAGUGACUCAUAUUAAUACAUCACGGCGUAAAGAGUGAUUAAAGAAUGAUCUUUAAUAACUAAAGUUUAGACCUCAUAAGGCCGUCAUACGCAUUCAUGAACGGAAUAACCAACAACGAAAGUGACUUUAAAUACCAAGAAACCUUGAUGUCACGACAAUUGGGAUC
This 181-nucleotide ribosomal RNA is filed under the name Galeocerdo cuvier (tiger shark). RNAcentral describes it as "partial small subunit ribosomal RNA". The record is from RNAcentral. Lineage: Eukaryota; Metazoa; Chordata; Chondrichthyes; Carcharhiniformes; Carcharhinidae.